CCCGAUCCCCAUCCCAUUCACACUGUCAGCAGCCCAGCCCACACUCCAAUCAAUCCUUCCUUCCUCCCUCGCUCCCUCGCUCCCCCCUCCUCCUCCCCCCCGGCGAUCGCAGGGAAUUCGCCGCCGCGAUCCGGCCCCGUCGCGCCCCUCGGAGCCGGUCCNNNNNNNNNNNNNNNNNNAGAGCAUAUUGACGACCAAGGGGCCUUGAGAGAUAGGAUAUACCGGUACACACAUUGGCAUGUUAAGGAGAAGCAUUGGAGCUACUUGGUGUAGCCAUUAUCGGACGUGCGCUACGCCGUUAUCCGCAACAUUGUGAGUAGAAGUUACGACCGUAAUCUGUUUCCAACCUUAUUAAUUCUGGACCUGGUGCAUUCACGAAGAUGGGAGUUUACCUUAGUACCCCCAAAACUGAGAAGCUAUCUGAAGAUGGGGAAAAUGAUCAACUUAAAUUUGGACUUUCAUCUAUGCAAGGGUGGCGUGCGAGUAUGGAAGAUGCUCAUUCAGCCUUGCUAGAUAUCGAUGAGGACACAUCAUUCUUCGGUGUUUUUGAUGGACAUGGAGGAAAAGUGGUUGCCAAAUUCUGUGCAAAAUAUCUACACAGGGAAGUUCUCAAAAGCGAAGUUUAUUUAGCUGGUGACCUGGGAGCUGCUGUCCAUGGAGCUUUCUUCAGAAUGGAUGAGAUGAUGCGGGGUCAAAGAGGCUGGCGAGAACUACAGGCACUUGGAGAUAAAAUAAACCAGUUUACUGGCAUGAUAGAAGGGCUGAUCUGGUCUCCGAGAGGCAGUGAUUCAAAUGAUCGACAUGAUGAUUGGGCUUUUGAGGAGGGACCUCACUCUGAUUUUAGCGGGCCAACCUGCGGGAGUACAGCCUGUGUUGCAAUGAUAAGGAAUAGUCAACUUGUUGUGGCAAACGCCGGAGAUUCCCGCUGUGUUAUCUCAAGGAAUGGCCAGGCAUACAAUUUAUCAAGAGAUCACAAACCAGAGCUUGAAGCAGAGAGAGAACGGAUAUUGAAAGCAGGGGGUUACAUCCAAAUGGGACGAGUAAAUGGAACUAUAAACUUGUCAAGAGCAAUUGGAGAUAUGGAAUUUAAACAGAAUAAAUUCUUGUCUCCUGAUAAGCAAAUGUUGACAGCAAACCCUGAUGUAAACACUGUCGAGCUUUGUGAUGAUGAUGACUUUCUUGUUUUAGCAUGUGAUGGCAUUUGGGACUGCAUGUCGAGCCAACAGCUAGUCGAUUUCAUCCAUGAGCACCUAAAGACAGAGAGCAGCCUUUCUGCAGUGUGUGAAAAGGUGCUCGAUAGAUGCCUGGCUCCAUCAACAUUAGGUGGAGAAGGAUGCGACAACAUGACGAUGAUCCUAGUGCAGUUCAAGAAGCCAAUUGACCAUGGCAAAAAUGCCAGUGCUGGUGAACAAUCAGCUGUUGGGGAUAAGAAUGUAAGUGCUGGUGAACAAUCAACGGCCGAGGAUAAGAAUGCUAGUGCUAGCGAUCAAUCAGCUGUCGAGGACAAGAAUGCUAGUGCUGGUGGACAAUCAGCUGUCGGGGACAAGAAUGCUAGUGCUGGAGGACAAUCGCCUGGUGACAUAGAACAGUCCGCGAACGAGGAGAAGAACUCGUGAUGUCAUGUCGUAGCCUGGCUGCAGGUGGACACGGGCCGUCCACGGCGCCCACUUAAAAGCCCACAUAAUUUGCGUUCGUGGACGCCCAUGUAAUCUGCGAUAGAGAAGUGGGAUAAGUG
This 1735-nucleotide ribosomal RNA is filed under the name Triticum aestivum (bread wheat). RNAcentral describes it as "partial small subunit ribosomal RNA". Lineage: Eukaryota; Viridiplantae; Streptophyta; Magnoliopsida; Poales; Poaceae. The record is from RNAcentral.